AACACAUUGGAAAAUUCAAGUUAAGAUUGUGCAUUCGUGGACACAAUACACUCAAUUCACCGGGGAAACAGUUGAAAUGGUUCUUGCUGAUACAGCUGGUACUUUGAUUCAUGCUACUGUUAAGAAGCCACAAGUGAGCAAACUGCAAAGGUUCAUAGUUUCUGGAGAAUGGCGUAUUAUCGAGCAUUUUACGCUAACCAAAUCAACAGGAAAGUAUCGAGCCACAAAACAUGGUUUCAAGAUGUCCAUGAUGGAAAAAACUGUGAUAAGUCGCACUCCUGCUGUUUCUGAUGACAUUUAUGUGGAUCUGGCAAACUUUCCAGAUAUUUUGAAUGAAGCAGGAUUGAGUGAAAACAUCUUAAUUGGUACUAUAUCUAUCUUACUUUCCAUUGUAUAUUUUCUUUUUCUAUUAUAAUAGGAACUUCUUCAUGAAAAUAUAAUUUAUUAGUCUCUUAUUUUGCAGAUGUACUUGGACAGGUAGUUAGUUUCAAUGAAAUGAAAAUUCAUGAUGUUAACAACAAGAUCACAAAGAGACUUGAGUGUGAACUCAGAGACACAAAUGAUGAAAGGCUUAAAUGCACUCUUUGGGGGAGAUUUGCUGAGGCAAUGUAUAAUGCAUGUCAAAAUGCAGGGACUGAGAGAGUGAUUUGCUUGCUUCGGCUUGCAAAGAUCAACUCAUUUAAAGGUGAAAGAGCUGUUUCAAAUUCAUUUGAUAUGUCUCUAUUGGAAAUCAAUGCUACCUACCCUGCUGUUCUUGAGUUUGUGGCCAAUUUACCACCUGAUGUUAUUCCACUGACUAUCGAAGACUCGAAGACAAAACAAGUGAAUGCAGAACAGAGAAAAAAGGAUUACUAUGAUCGUUUUCCAAGGAAAACCAUAUCUGGACUCUUUUGUUUUUCUGAGACUGGAAAGUGCAACAUAAUUUGUACCAUAAUGAAUAUCGACACAGACUAUUCUUGGUAUUUCUUUAGUUGCCUCAAGUGUAGCAAAACUGCCUAUAAGAUUCCAAAGGUUGAAAAUGAGAUUGUCAAGAAAGGCAAGAAAGAAAUGUUUUGGUGUCCAACAUGUAAGGAAGACACUCCUAAGGUGAUACCAAGGUAUCUUUUAAACGUUGGAGUGAUGGAUAGCACUGGAGACACUAAAUGUCUUAUCUUUGAUAAAAGUGCACAAGAGAUAAUCGGUGUGUCUGCAGAGGAUUUGCUGGAAGGGAAGUGGGAUGAGGUAAACAAAUUUGUUGUUAUUAUGUAUAUAGACCAUAUUAUUCAAAUAUCUUAUAUACUUUUUUCAAUCUAUCAUAACAGAUUCAGGAUCCUACAAACUUGCCUCAGCCAAUCAGAGAUUUGGUUGGAAAGACUUUCCAGUUUCUGGUGACUGUUGGAAAGGAAAACAUCAAUGAAACUGAUGAUACCUACAAGGUUUCAACUGUUUGGCUGGGUAAUGAAUCUGACAAUCUAGAUACUAUUGAAGAUUCUGACCAGCAGACUGACCAACGUAAUGACCUCUCUAUUGAUCAGGAAGGACUUGCUCUGACCAAUAGUGGUGAAACCACUGACCCUUUAGAUCCUACAUCAUCCACUCCUUCAUCUAAGCGUAGUAUGGAUGCAGUUUCUGAGGACAUUGAAGGUCAGGGUUCUACUACUAAAAAGGCAUGUGUCUCUUCCCUUCUUGGUGACAUUGAGAAGGAAGAGAUUGAAGGUGGCAAGAAUUAAGUUGUGCUGGCUGGGAAUAAUGUAGGGAGCUUGGCUGUAGCAAUUAGUUUUCUAUUUUUUUCUUUUGUUCAAGUUUCAAAACUUAUUUAGUUUUUUCCUUUAGCUAUGUGCUAUUUAAUUCUCAGUUAUUUUGAAUUCAAGCAAUAAAC
RNA transcript from Arabidopsis lyrata subsp. lyrata, 1858 nucleotides. RefSeq lists it as uncharacterized. The record is from RefSeq and is a predicted model, not a curated record. NCBI's taxonomy places the organism in Eukaryota, Viridiplantae, Streptophyta, Magnoliopsida, Brassicales, Brassicaceae. The transcript is spliced from 8 exons.